CGCCGGAGAAGUUGCCGGAUUCGAAGAACACGGCGGAGCCGUGGCUACCCAAAAUGCAAAUCAGUCAAAAUCGAUCGAAUGGAAGAAAUAAUUACACAGACUUGAAGAGCAUGACGAGAGGAGUGAUUUUCAUGCCACACGCAGCUCAGAUGGUGGUCGGAGUCGCCGGAAUUUGCAGAAAUCGUCGGAGAAGACUCGGAGCUUCGGGUCUUCGAUUCUCCUUCUUCGUUCAAUGCAUGGACGAUCUAAUGUCACAAGGAGGUGGGCGACAGCGAGACGAAGACGAAGGUGCCCGCGCCCCGUCGUGGGGUGGCCGGACGUGAAAGUUUCGGUCGGGUCACGUUGUCAGGUCGCGGUUGUGUCUCGGGUCAGAGAGC
RNAcentral lists this long non-coding RNA (377 nucleotides) under Rosa chinensis. Its description in RNAcentral is "sRNA RchiOBHm_Chr7g0205161". The record is from RNAcentral. Lineage: Eukaryota; Viridiplantae; Streptophyta; Magnoliopsida; Rosales; Rosaceae.